RNAcentral lists this ribosomal RNA (253 nucleotides) under uncultured bacterium. RNAcentral describes it as "partial 16S ribosomal RNA". It matches the Rfam family "Bacterial small subunit ribosomal RNA", at positions 524 to 776 of the family's 1533-position model. The record is from RNAcentral.
UACGUAGGGGGCGAGCGUUAUCCGGAUUUACUGGGUGUAAAGGGAGCGUAGACGGCAGUGCAAGUCUGGAGUGAAAGGCGGGGGCUCAACCCCCGGACUGCUCUGGAAACUGUACGGCUGGAGUGCAGGAGAGGUAAGUGGAAUUCCUAGUGUAGCGGUGAAAUGCGUAGAUAUUAGGAGGAACACCAGUGGCGAAGGCGGCUUACUGGACUGUAACUGACGUUGAGGCUCGAAAGCGUGGGGAGCAAACAGG